Molecule: long non-coding RNA, 306 nt
Filed under: Citrus maxima (pomelo)
Lineage: Eukaryota; Viridiplantae; Streptophyta; Magnoliopsida; Sapindales; Rutaceae
Description: long non-coding RNA (CMAX_LNC002566)
Source: RNAcentral
UUCGACUCCCUGUAUUGAUCAUCUUUGAAUGAUAUCAUGUCAUUGUAUCCCUAUAUGCCCAAAAUCAUACAUUACAAUAUAAAUAUAUUUUACACUUAAUUCACAUCGACAGCAGCAUUUUCAAAUAUUUAGCCUAGAACUGGAUGCAUGCUCAAGUACUUAUUCGGACGGAGAUAUGUAGACUGAAGUAGACUAGCUAGAAAUGCUCCGAAUGAGCAAGGCCUAAUUGCUUGAGAUGGUUGUGAAUAUUGGGGGGAUGAUCAUCGAGUUUAGGCCUUUCAGGCUGCACCCAACGCCCGUCUUUGC